AUUAUUAAUUCUGCCAUAUUGGGGGGUAAUUGUUGACACAUAAAAAUUUAGCCCAAAUCAAACGGCCCAAAGAGUGAAGCCCAAUUGGAGGAUCCCCAAAUCAGAUAGCCCAAAGAACGAAAUCCAAUCAAACAAAUUAGGAUGACGGCCCAAAUAGGGAGGCCCAAGAACGCGGUAACGCCAUCGCCCAAGUUUGCAAGUCGCCCAGAAUCUGAGCGAACGGAGUGCCAUACAGUCGCCCAGAGCUGUUACUCUAUUCUCGCCCAAACUUUCAAGUCGCCCAAGGUCUCAACACACAUAAAGCGUUGUGAUUAUCAAGACGUGCCGUUAUCAAAGCAGCCCUAUCACGUUCCACGAUUCAAGGAAUUAAAUCGAAAGCGGUUGAACGACAAAGAGUAAUGACAGCAGUUAAAAAAGGCAAUUUUCAUGACAAGUUGACCGUUACGAGGAAAGUGGGCAGUCAUAGGACGA
This 471-nucleotide small RNA is filed under the name Olea europaea subsp. europaea. Lineage: Eukaryota; Viridiplantae; Streptophyta; Magnoliopsida; Lamiales; Oleaceae. The record is from RNAcentral.